AGAGUUUGAUCCUGGCUCAGGACGAACGCUGGCGGCGUGCCUAAUACAUGCAAGUCGAGCGAAUCGAUGGGAGCUUGCUCCCUGAGAUUAGCGGCGGACGGGUGAGUAACACGUGGGCAACCUGCCUAUAAGACUGGGAUAACUUCGGGAAACCGGAGCUAAUACCGGAUACGUUCUUUUCUCGCAUGAGAGAAGAUGGAAAGACGGUUUACGCUGUCACUUAUAGAUGGGCCCGCGGCGCAUUAGCUAGUUGGUGAGGUAAUGGCUCACCAAGGCGACGAUGCGUAGCCGACCUGAGAGGGUGAUCGGCCACACUGGGACUGAGACACGGCCCAGACUCCUACGGGAGGCAGCAGUAGGGAAUCUUCCGCAAUGGACGAAAGUCUGACGGAGCAACGCCGCGUGAACGAAGAAGGCCUUCGGGUCGUAAAGUUCUGUUGUUAGGGAAGAACAAGUACCAGAGUAACUGCUGGUACCUUGACGGUACCUAACCAGAAAGCCACGGCUAACUACGUGCCAGCAGCCGCGGUAAUACGUAGGUGGCAAGCGUUGUCCGGAAUUAUUGGGCGUAAAGCGCGCGCAGGUGGUUCCUUAAGUCUGAUGUGAAAGCCCACGGCUCAACCCGUGGAGGGUCAUUGGAAACUGGGGAACUUGAGUGCAGAAGAGGAAAGUGGAAUUCCAAGUGUAGCGGUGAAAUGCGUAGAGAUUUGGAGGAACACCAGUGGCGAAGGCGACUUUCUGGUCUGUAACUGACACUGAGGCGCGAAAGCGUGGGGAGCAACCAGGAUUAGAUACCCUGGUAGUCCACGCCGUAAACGAUGAGUGCUAAGUGUUAGAGGGUUUCCGCCCUUUAGUGCUGCAGCUAACGCAUUAAGCACUCCGCCUGGGGAGUACGGCCGCAAGGCUGAAACUCAAAGGAAUUGACGGGGGCCCGCACAAGCGGUGGGGCAUGUGGUUUAAUUCGAAGCAACGCGAAGAACCUUACCAGGUCUUGACAUCCUCUGACAACCCUAGAGAUAGGGCUUUCCCCUUCGGGGGACAGAGUGACAGGUGGUGCAUGGUUGUCGUCAGCUCGUGUCGUGAGAUGUUGGGUUAAGUCCCGCAACGAGCGCAACCCUUGAUCUUAGUUGCCAGCAUUCAGUUGGGCACUCUAAGGUGACUGCCGGUGACAAACCGGAGGAAGGUGGGGAUGACGUCAAAUCAUCAUGCCCCUUACGACCUGGGCUACACACGUGCUACAAUGGAUGGUACAAAGGGCUGCAAACCUGCGAAGGUAAGCGAAUCCCAUAAAGCCAUUCUCAGUUCGGAUUGCAGGCUGCAACUCGCCUGCAUGAAGCCGGAAUCGCUAGUAAUCGCGGAUCAGCACGCCGCGGUGAAUACGUUCCCGGGCCUUGUACACACCGCCCGUCACACCACGAGAGUUUGUAACACCCGAAGUCGGUGAGGUAACCUUCAUGGAGCCAGCCGCCUAAGGUGGGACAGAUGGUUGGGGUGAAGUCGUAACAAGGUAACC
RNAcentral lists this ribosomal RNA (1513 nucleotides) under Bacillus sp. 399S5-5. RNAcentral's name for it is "bacterial SSU rRNA". It matches the Rfam family "Bacterial small subunit ribosomal RNA". Lineage: Bacteria; Bacillati; Bacillota; Bacilli; Caryophanales; Bacillaceae. The record is from RNAcentral.